AGUGAACGCUGGCGGUAUGCCUAACACAUGCAGGUCGAACGGCAGCACAGUAAGAGCUUUCUCUUACGGUGGGCGAGGGGCGGGCGAGUGAGGAAUACAUCGGAAUCUACUUUUUCGUGGGGGAUAACGGAGGGAAACAUACGCCAUUCGAGCAUACGACCUACGGGUGAAAGCAGGGGAUCUUGGGACAUUGCGCGAGUGGAUGAGCGGAUGUCGGAUUAGCUAGUUGGCGGGGUAAAGGCCUACCAAGGCGACGAUCCGUAGCUGGUCUGAGAGGAUGAUCAGCCACACUGGAACUGAGACACGGUCCAGACUCCUACGGGAGGCAGCAGUGGGGAAUAUUGGACAAAGGGCGAAAGCCUGAUCCAGCCAUACCGCGUGGGUGAAGAAGGCCUUCGGGUUGUAAAGCCCUUUUGUUGGGAAAGAAAAGCAGUAGGUUAAUACCCCGCUGUUCUGACGGUACCCAAAGAAUAAGCACCGGCUAACUUCGUG
Molecule: ribosomal RNA, 492 nt
Filed under: uncultured bacterium
Lineage: Bacteria
Description: partial 16S ribosomal RNA
Rfam family: Bacterial small subunit ribosomal RNA
Source: RNAcentral